RNAcentral lists this ribosomal RNA (484 nucleotides) under uncultured bacterium. Its description in RNAcentral is "partial 16S ribosomal RNA". It matches the Rfam family "Bacterial small subunit ribosomal RNA", at positions 30 to 507 of the family's 1533-position model. The record is from RNAcentral.
AUUGGACGCUGGCGGCAGGCCUAACACAUGCAAGUCGAGCGGAUGAAGGGAGCUUGCUCCUGGAUUCAGCGGCGGACGGGUGAGUAAUGCCUAGGAAUCUGCCUGGUAGUGGGGGAUAACGUCCGGAAACGGGCGCUAAUACCGCAUACGUCCUGAGGGAGAAAGUGGGGGAUUUUCGGACCUCACGCUAUCAGAUGAGCCUAGGUCGGAUUAGCUAGUUGGUGGGGUAAAGGCCUACCAAGGCGACGAUCCGUAACUGGUCUGAGAGGAUGAUCAGUCACACUGGAACUGAGACACGGUCCAGACUCCUACGGGAGGCAGCAGUGGGGAAUAUUGGACAAUGGGCGAAAGCCUGAUCCAGCCAUGCCGCGUGUGUGAAGAAGGUCUUCGGAUUGUAAAGCACUUUAAGUUGGGAGGAAGGGCAGUAAGUUAAUACCUUGCUGUUUUGACGUUACCAACAGAAUAAGCACCGGCUAACUUCGUG